GCCUGUACUUCCCGCCCGCGGCGCUUCCGGAUGGAUGGAAUGAGGAUUUGGAGCCGGCCCGGUUGCCGGCACAGUUCACCAUCCUCAUUGCCGACGAUGAACCCCCGAUCCGCAACCUUGUGGUUGCAGCGCUUUCGAAUGAAGGGUACGUCCUGCUCCACGCUUCAUCUGGCGCCGAGGCACUGCAGAUUGCCGCGGGGCGGAACGGCCCGAUCGAUCUUCUCAUGACCGAUGCCAACAUGCCGGGCAUGGGUGGGAUCGAGCUCGCGAGGGAGCUCGUUCGAAUCCGAUCCGACAUCAAGGUGAUCGUCAUGUCCGGAGAUUCACCGGAAAAGGUCAGCGUG
Molecule: unclassified non-coding RNA, 344 nt
Filed under: uncultured bacterium
Lineage: Bacteria
Description: contains 16S-23S intergenic spacer region
Source: RNAcentral